UGAGUUGCUUGAUGUACAUAAGCAGGUGCAUCACCUACUUAACCAAUUGGUGUCUUAAAAUGGACCAAAAAAAGAGUAUCUAGAUGAUUUUUUUUUGUGGUCAAUAAAGCUCCAUAUAAAUCCAAUAUGAGCUGAUCUUUUCACCCAUUUUAACACAUAAUAUUGAGAAUUAGCUCUAGCUUUCUCUCUCUCUUUUCUUGUAAAGAUUAAAACAACAACCUUAAAGUUCUUCUAGAGUUUUGAAGAAACCCUCAUAUCUACAAACCAAGUGUGAAGGGAAGUUGAAGUUCUAGAAAAAUUCAAGUUAUAAGGAGAAGUUGUAGAAAUUGAGGUACUCUAGCUAUUAGACCUUGUCAAUAGGUGCACACGACCCUCAACUACUUUUGGUGAGCUCCAGGUUGAUUCAGAUCUUUGUUGAGUCCUUGGUAGAUUCAUUUUGGAAUUUUAUUAUAGUUAAGGAUA
Long non-coding RNA from Solanum lycopersicum (tomato), 462 nucleotides. RefSeq lists it as uncharacterized. NCBI's taxonomy places the organism in Eukaryota, Viridiplantae, Streptophyta, Magnoliopsida, Solanales, Solanaceae. The record is from RefSeq and is a predicted model, not a curated record.